This 772-nucleotide ribosomal RNA is filed under the name uncultured Neocallimastigales. RNAcentral's name for it is "partial large subunit ribosomal RNA". It matches the Rfam family "Eukaryotic large subunit ribosomal RNA", at positions 23 to 625 of the family's 3401-position model. Lineage: Eukaryota; Fungi; Neocallimastigomycota; Neocallimastigomycetes; Neocallimastigales. The record is from RNAcentral.
GAGACUCUGUGCGCGUGCAUAUCAAUAAGCGGAGGAAAAGAAACUAACAAGGAUUCCCUAGUAACGGCGAGUGAAGCGGGAAGAGCUCAAAUUUGAAAUCUUAAAGGUUUCCCUUGACGAAUUGUAGUUUAUAGAAGUGUUUUCUGUAGUGGAGUUCGGUAAAAGUUCUUUGGAAUAGGACAUCAUAGAGGGUGAGAAUCCCGUAUUUGACCAUUAUUUCCAACUUUGUGAUACACUUUCAAAGAGUCGGAUUGUUUGGGAAUGCAGUCCAAAAUGGGUGGUAAAUUUCAUCUAAAGCUAAAUACUGGCGAGAGACCGAUAGCGAACAAGUACCGUGAGGGAAAGAUGAAAAGAACUUUGAAAAGAGAGUUAAACAGUACGUGAAAUUGUCAAAAGGGAAGCGUUUGACACCAGUGUUGUUUUCUCGAAAAUCAAUUAAAAAUGGCUUGAUUUUGUGUUGUAUUGACCUUAAAAGCUUUCUUCACUCUUUUCUUGUCUUUUUUAAUGCACUUUUCGUUUAACAAGUCAACAUCAGUUUCUUUUGUUGUAAAAGGUCAUUGGAAGGUAGCUUUCUUUUCGGAGAAAGUGUUUAUAGCCUUUGAUCUCUGCAAUCGGAGAGACUGAGGUCUGCAGCGUAGAUCCUUCGGGGUUAGAUACAUUUGUGCUAAGUUAUAGCUUUUUAUAGACAACUUGUUGACUAUAUUUAGUCUUGUAGCUUACUCGCUUAUGCUAUUUUACCUACGCUUAGGAUGUUGAUCUGUAGUGCGUGCGC